GGGAAGGUAGCCCAGUGGUAGAGUGCUUGCCUUGCAUGCAUGAGGCCCUGGGUUUGAUUCGUCAGCAUAUCCA
This is a non-coding RNA of Dipodomys ordii (Ord's kangaroo rat), 73 nucleotides long. The record is from Rfam. NCBI's taxonomy places the organism in Eukaryota, Metazoa, Chordata, Mammalia, Rodentia, Heteromyidae.